Long non-coding RNA from Hemicordylus capensis (graceful crag lizard), 920 nucleotides. RefSeq lists it as uncharacterized. The transcript has 4 exons. The record is from RefSeq and is a predicted model, not a curated record. Lineage: Eukaryota; Metazoa; Chordata; Lepidosauria; Squamata; Cordylidae.
CUGUAGCAGCCUGCUGACUUGCCAACAUUACUGUGUAAUUGUUUGCACAGCAGCACACUUGUGCAACUGCAUGCAUGCAACAUUAAAAUACCCACCCAAUACUGGGCAGUAUGUCAGCCACUGCUUCUAACUCUAAAUAAUUCUCAUUGCAGAAUGAUCCAAGGAGUGCCUGUGGCACACUAUGCAGCAUGUUCCUUUGUGGUCAUCAACUGCCAGUGCAACUGCCAGUGCAGUUCACUGGUUAAUGGAUUGGACUUGGUUUGAAGGACCUGGUUUCACACCUCAUUCUCCACUUCACUGAUAGCCUUGAGCAGGUAUCUCCGCCCCCCCAAUAGAGGAGCAUUCAGAUACACAACCCACCACUUGCAAUCUGAAGUAGCUUUGCCACUGAUGAGCUCUUUGUCUAGAGUCACACUGGAGGCACCUUAACACCUGUCUACCCUUGCUUGGAGACAGUGCAAAAUUAGUUGAUAACUUCUGGGCAAGAAUGAUCUUCAAUCUGCACUGGACACAGGAUCAAGGGAUUUUUAAAAUAUCUAUCCUGUCUCAUCCAAGAGAGUCAUAAUCUACACUAGCUACAGGACUCCAUCUCUAAAAGAGAUGGGUGGAGAAAGUGACUCCAUCUGGACUGCCAGUCUAUCAUGAAGAACUGAUGGAUCGACCGUGUCUUGUCAGAUACAGAUAAGAGCAAGAAAAGAAAGCUAUGAGGGAGUUGUAAAGAGACAUCUUUCUCCAUUUGACAACAGAGCCAGGAUUAUGCAGCAGCGAGGGAGGCCAUUAACUGAUGACAUGAAAUUUGCCUUUGCAUUGCAUAAUUCCUUUUCCCUCCACAGAGGGGGUGGAAUAACGGUCCUAGAGGGACCAUUCAGACCCAGAAUGUAUUGUAAAGUUCCGGCUAGAAACAAACCAGUUUAAAUAGU